This 1347-nucleotide ribosomal RNA is filed under the name uncultured bacterium. Its description in RNAcentral is "bacterial SSU rRNA". It matches the Rfam family "Bacterial small subunit ribosomal RNA", at positions 28 to 1381 of the family's 1533-position model. The record is from RNAcentral.
GACGAACGCUGGCGGCGUGCUUAACACAUGCAAGUCGAACGAUGAAGCCUAGCUUGCUAGGUGGAUUAGUGGCGAACGGGUGAGUAAUACGUGAGUAACCUACCUUUAACUCUGGGAUAAGCCUGGGAAACUGGGUCUAAUACCGGAUACGACCAAUCUCCGCAUGGGGUGUUGGUGGAAAGCGUUAUGUAGUGGUUAUAGAUGGGCUCACGGCCUAUCAGCUUGUUGGUGAGGUAACGGCUCACCAAGGCGACGACGGGUAGCCGGCCUGAGAGGGUGACCGGCCACACUGGGACUGAGACACGGCCCAGACUCCUACGGGAGGCAGCAGUGGGGAAUAUUGCACAAUGGGCGCAAGCCUGAUGCAGCGACGCCGCGUGAGGGAUGACGGCCUUCGGGUUGUAAACCUCUGUUAGCAGGGAAGAAGAGAGAUUGACGGUACCUGCAGAGAAAGCGCCGGCUAACUACGUGCCAGCAGCCGCGGUAAUACGUAGGGCGCGAGCGUUGUCCGGAAUUAUUGGGCGUAAAGAGCUUGUAGGCGGUUUGUCGCGUCUGCUGUGAAGGCCGGAGCUUAACUCCGUGUAUUGCAGUGGGUACGGGCAGACUAGAGUGCAGUAGGGGAGACUGGAAUUCCUGGUGUAGCGGUGGAAUGCGCAGAUAUCAGGAGGAACACCGAUGGCGAAGGCAGGUCUCUGGGCUGUAACUGACGCUGAGAAGCGAAAGUAUGGGGAGCGAACAGGAUUAGAUACCCUGGUAGUCCAUGCCGUAAACGUUGGGCACUAGGUGUGGGGAACAUUCCACGUUUUCCGCGCCGUAGCUAACGCAUUAAGUGCCCCGCCUGGGGAGUACGGCCGCAAGGCUAAAACUCAAAGAAAUUGACGGGGGCCCGCACAAGCGGCGGAGCAUGCGGAUUAAUUCGAUGCAACGCGAAGAACCUUACCAAGGCUUGACAUAUACUGGACCGCAUCAGAGAUGGUGUUUCCCUUCGGGGCUGGUAUACAGGUGGUGCAUGGUUGUCGUCAGCUCGUGUCGUGAGAUGUUGGGUUAAGUCCCGCAACGAGCGCAACCCUCGUUCUAUGUUGCCAGCACGUUAUGGUGGGGACUCAUAGGAGACUGCCGGGGUCAACUCGGAGGAAGGUGGGGAUGACGUCAAAUCAUCAUGCCCCUUAUGUCUUGGGCUUCACGCAUGCUACAAUGGCCGGUACAGAGGGUUGCGAUACUGUGAGGUGGAGCUAAUCCCUAAAAGCCGGUCUCAGUUCGGAUUGGGGUCUGCAACUCGACCCCAUGAAGUCGGAGUCGCUAGUAAUCGCAGAUCAGCAACGCUGCGGUGAAUACGUUCCCGGGCCU